Molecule: transfer RNA, 538 nt
Filed under: uncultured Prochlorococcus sp.
Lineage: Bacteria; Bacillati; Cyanobacteriota; Cyanophyceae; Synechococcales; Prochlorococcaceae
Description: partial 16S-23S ribosomal RNA intergenic spacer
Rfam family: tRNA (bases 209-281)
Source: RNAcentral
CAGGGAGACAACAAAAUGUUUAAUAUUAUUUUGUCACCUUAGGUCGAUCGGUAUCUCACGUUCUUAAUUUAUUAAGAAUUUCAAUUCCUAAGUUUUUCUAGGUCACACCCAUUAUUUUUCCUGGGCCAUUAGCUCAGGUGGUUAGAGCGCACCCCUGAUAAGGGUGAGGUCCCUGGUUCAAGUCCAGGAUGGCCCAUAUCUCUAUGUUGGGGGUAUAGCUCAGUUGGUAGAGCGCCUGCUUUGCAAGCAGGAUGUCAGCGGUUCGAGUCCGCUUACCUCCACUGAUUACCACCUCUUCCAUAAUUCAAAGAAGGGAAACUUUAUUUGGUGUGAUCAUAUUCUGAACGAAUCUAGCUUCCUAAUAAAAUUUAUUAAGAUGCUGGACUCAUUGAAUUUUUUCAUUGUUUUCAGAGAACCUUGACAACUGCAUAGAUUAUUUUUAAAGACAAUAAGCAUCUUUAAUGAUGCAGAUUUAUUAUUUGUGCGAAUGCAUUAAUAACAAUUCUAUUAAGCUGAUGCUUCAAAUUUUGAAGUUAUU